This 69-nucleotide antisense RNA is filed under the name Kutzneria sp. 744. RNAcentral describes it as "ASpks TB sRNA". It matches the Rfam family "ASpks TB sRNA". The record is from Rfam by way of RNAcentral. Lineage: Bacteria; Bacillati; Actinomycetota; Actinomycetes; Pseudonocardiales; Pseudonocardiaceae.
CUUCACGGAGCCGAGCCACAGCGGGCGGUCCCGGCGAUGUCCGUAGGUGGCGAUCAGCGCCUCGGCCUC